RNAcentral lists this ribosomal RNA (305 nucleotides) under uncultured bacterium. RNAcentral describes it as "bacterial SSU rRNA". It matches the Rfam family "Bacterial small subunit ribosomal RNA", at positions 335 to 657 of the family's 1533-position model. The record is from RNAcentral.
CUUCCUACGGGACGCAGCAGUGGGGGAUAUUGCACAAUGGGGGGAACCCUGAUGCAGCGACGCCGCGUGAAGGAAGAAGUAUCUCGGUAUGUAAACUUCUAUCAGCAGGGAAGAAAAUGACGGUACCUGACUAAGAAGCCCCGGCUAACUACGUGCCAGCAGCCGCGGUAAUACGUAGGGGGCAAGCGUUAUCCGGAUUUACUGGGUGUAAAGGGAGCGUAGGCGGCAGUGCAAGUCAGAAGUGAAAGCCCGUGGCUUAACCGCGGAACGGCUUUGGAAACUGUGGAACUGGAGUGCUGGAGAGG